This 467-nucleotide ribosomal RNA is filed under the name uncultured bacterium. RNAcentral's name for it is "partial 16S ribosomal RNA". It matches the Rfam family "Bacterial small subunit ribosomal RNA", at positions 28 to 506 of the family's 1533-position model. The record is from RNAcentral.
GACGAACGCUGGCGGCGUGCUUAACACAUGCAAGUCGAACGGAAAGGCCCUGCUUUUGUGGGGUGCUCGAGUGGCGAACGGGUGAGUAACACGUGAGUAACCUGCCCUUGACUUUGGGAUAACUUCAGGAAACUGGGGCUAAUACCGGAUAGGAGCUCCUGCUGCAUGGUGGGGGUUGGAAAGUUUCGGCGGUUGGGGAUGGACUCGCGGCUUAUCAGCUUGUUGGUGGGGUAGUGGCUUACCAAGGCUUUGACGGGUAGCCGGCCUGAGAGGGUGACCGGCCACAUGGGGACUGGGAUACGGCCCAGACCCCUACGGGGGGCAGCAGGGGGGAAUAUUGCACAAGGGGCGGAAGCCUGAUGCAGCAACGCCGGGGGGGGGAUGACGGCCUUCGGGUUGUAAACCGCUUUCGCCUGGGACGAAGGGGGGGUGACGGUAAUGGGUAAAGAAGCACCGGCUAACUACGG